GACGAACGCUGGCGGCGUGCUUAACACAUGCAAGUCGAACGGAAAGGCCUCUUUCGGGGGGUACUCGAGUGGCGAACGGGUGAGUAACACGUGAGUAACCUGCCCUUGACUUUGGGAUAACUUCAGGAAACUGGGGCUAAUACCGGAUAGGAGCUCCUGCUGCAUGGUGGGGGUUGGAAAGUUUCGGCGGUUGGGGAUGGACUCGCGGCUUAUCAGCUUGUUGGUGGGGUAGUGGCUUACCAAGGCUUUGACGGGUAGCCGGCCUGAGAGGGUGACCGGCCACAUUGGGACUGAGAUACGGCCCAGACUCCUACGGGAGGCAGCAGUGGGGAAUAUUGCACAAUGGGUGGAAGCCUGAUGCAGCAACGCCGUGUGCGGGAUGACGGCCUGGUGUAACGACUUCGCUCAUGACGAAG
RNAcentral lists this ribosomal RNA (416 nucleotides) under uncultured bacterium. Its description in RNAcentral is "bacterial SSU rRNA". It matches the Rfam family "Bacterial small subunit ribosomal RNA", at positions 28 to 450 of the family's 1533-position model. The record is from RNAcentral.